UGAGUAUGAAAGAUGAUCGCGGGUGUCUUUGACAUCUGAGGAAAGUCCGGGCUCCGCAGGGCAGAUAUGCCGGAUAACGUCCGGCGAGGGUGACCUCAGGGAGAGUGCUAUAGAAAUUUAAACCGCCUGCUUGCAGGUAAGGAUGGAAAGGUACGGUAAGAGCGUACCAGCGUAUGGGUGACCAUGCGGCUUUGGUAAACCCCAUAUGGAGCAAGACCGAAUAGGGAAGGGAUGAAGCGGCCCGCUGAACCUUCCGGGUUGUGUCGCUUGAACCGGCAGGCAACUGCCGGUCUAGAUAAAUGAUUAUCACCGCUUAGGCGGAACAGAACUCGGCUUAAUGAUUACUCGUAGC
Molecule: RNase P RNA, 352 nt
Filed under: Pectinatus cerevisiiphilus
Lineage: Bacteria; Bacillati; Bacillota; Negativicutes; Selenomonadales; Selenomonadaceae
Description: Bacterial RNase P class A
Rfam family: Bacterial RNase P class A
About the family: Ribonuclease P (RNase P) is a ubiquitous endoribonuclease, found in archaea, bacteria and eukarya as well as chloroplasts and mitochondria. Its best characterised activity is the generation of mature 5'-ends of tRNAs by cleaving the 5'-leader elements of precursor-tRNAs.
Source: Rfam by way of RNAcentral